AUGAACGCUGGCGGCGUGCCUAAUACAUGCAAGUCGAGCGAACAGAUGAGGAGCUUGCUCCUCUGACGUUAGCGGCGGACGGGUGAGUAACACGUGGAUAACCUACCUAUAAGACUGGGGUAACUUCGGGAAACCGGAGCUAAUACCGGAUAAUAUAUUGAACCGCAUGGUUCAAUAGUGAAAGACGGUUUUGCUGUCACUUAUAGAUGGAUCCGCGCCGCAUUAGCUAGUUGGUAAGGUAACGGCUUACCAAGGCAACGAUGCGUAGCCGACCUGAGAGGGUGAUCGGCCACACUGGAACUGAGACACGGUCCAGACUCCUACGGGAGGCAGCAGUAGGGAAUCUUCCGCAAUGGGCGAAAGCCUGACGGAGCAACGCCGCGUGAGUGAUGAAGGUCUUCGGAUCGUAAAACUCUGUUAUUAGGGAAGAACAAAUGUGUAAGUAACUAUGCACGUCUUGACGGUACCUAAUCAGAAAGCCACGGCUAACUACGUG
This 496-nucleotide ribosomal RNA is filed under the name uncultured bacterium. RNAcentral describes it as "partial 16S ribosomal RNA". It matches the Rfam family "Bacterial small subunit ribosomal RNA", at positions 29 to 507 of the family's 1533-position model. The record is from RNAcentral.